CAGCCGCCACGGGAAUACGAAGGGGGCUAGCGUUGCUCGGAAUCACUGGGCGUAAAGGGUGCGUAGGCGGGUCUUUAAGUCAGGGGUGAAAUCCUGGAGCUCAACUCCAGAACUGCCUUUGAUACUGAAGGUCUUGAGUUCGGGAGGGGUGAGUGGAACUGCGAGUGUAGAGGUGAAAUUCGUAGAUAUUCGCAAGAACACCAGUGGCGAAGGCGGCUCACUGGCCCGAUACUGACGCUGAGGCACGAAAGCGUGGGGAGCAAACAGGAUUAGAUACCCGGGUAGUCCCUGUCUCUUAUAC
Molecule: ribosomal RNA, 301 nt
Filed under: uncultured bacterium
Lineage: Bacteria
Description: partial 16S ribosomal RNA
Rfam family: Bacterial small subunit ribosomal RNA
Source: RNAcentral